This 8684-nucleotide long non-coding RNA is filed under the name Olea europaea (common olive). Its description in RNAcentral is "long non-coding RNA (OEUR_LNC001899)". The record is from RNAcentral. Lineage: Eukaryota; Viridiplantae; Streptophyta; Magnoliopsida; Lamiales; Oleaceae.
UUUGCUUGAAGCUGCAGAAAAUGUCCCAAACAAAAAAGAGAAAAUAAAUCCAAAAGACAACCACAUUUCAUUCCAAUGCUCAGAUAUGGAACUCAUAACCCAAAAAUUACAAGAAAUGAAAAUAGAAUAUGUAACAGCAAUUGUCAAGGAAGGAGGCAUAACAGUGGAUCAAUUGUUCUUCCAUGAUCCAGAUGGUUAUAUGAUUGAAAUUUGCAAUUGCCAAAAUCUACCAGUUCUUCCACUUUCUUCCUGCCCUCUUAAGAAGCUACAAAACCCUAAUGAUAAUCUCACAUUAUCAUCUCUCUACGGUGAGUUUUUAAUUCAUUGAGUGUAAACCGAGACCAUUUUAUAGUAAUUAGGGUUUUUGUUGCAGAAAAGUUUCAUGGUAUUUAUUUACUUUACGGUAAACAUUACUAGAUGACCGGCUAUAUAGAUAAAAAUUAUGAGUUCAAGUUUUGUUAUCAUCAACUUAAAAAUGUGAUUAUUAAUUAAUUAAUGUGUUAUUACAAAUCACAGGGAAGAAGAUGCAGUGCAAUAGAGAAGUAGAAGCUCUGAUGUUGGAGAAUUUGGCAGUGGAAAUGUUGGACAUUUCAAUUUGACUGCAUUUCUCACCGUAUGAGUCAAAAGAAUGUAAAAUAUAUGUAUGGAAAAGAGAAAGCACUUUUAUCUAUAGUUAAUUAUAAAUGUUAGCAUAUUGCAGCUCUUCCUUUCUAGUCUUCUGAUUAAUAGUAAAAUAUCAAUCGAUACUGAUUGGUUUUGGCUUCAGAGUUCAAUGGUCGCAUAUAUGUGGAGAGAGACUUAUUGUUCUAAUUAUGUUGUCAUACAAAUUCAAUAUUUUGCGAAAACGAGCUCCAUAUAGAAAAUGGGCUCGGGUUUUUCGGGUCGAAUUAUCAUCUCUAAUUAAAGCACUGUUGAAAAAAUAUUAACUGAGUACAAACAUUAUAGCCCCAAGUUUUGCUCAUGCGAAUAAACUCUGCAUAUUAAGUGGGGGAGAUAGAAGUACUUUGUCACAUUUAUAACAUUUUGACACAACAUGAGCAAUGAACACUUUUUUUUUUCAACCGUGCUAGGCUUAACAGGUCCUUACCAGGCCACACACACACAUGGGGUCGACAUAAAAUUUUUUUUUUAAAGCAUGUGGGGCCCCUAUACAGUGAGGAACCCUAUAAAACACUUGUGAGCCAUUGCCCUGUACAUUGGACAUUAUUCUUUUUUUUUUUUUUUUUUUUUUUUUUUUUUGAAGAAAUAAGAGAAUCAAAACUACACUAUUUUGGUAGACUACGUGUGAAUAGGAACUAACUUCUUCUCUUUUCUAUUUAUAGAUGGCUGAAUGGAAUAAAUCACAUAUUAUCAUACUAUAUACAUCAAUUCAACGAAUUAAUUUUAAUUUCUAGGACACAUCAUAUAUUUACUACCAAUAAAUUAAUAUAUCACGUCAUUAUUGCUUAACGUAAACUAAACAAAUAUACUUAAUAAAUCAUUUCUCAUAUUACUUGUAUACAUUGAGAUCCUCCAACCAUUUUUUGUAUUAGAAAACAACGCGUUUUGGAUCUUUGAAUGUGCAAACAAAAAAAACGUAAAAGCCAUGUUUCACAAUGCAAUUAGUUUUUCCUUUCAAACCAAGUAAUAUUGCUUCAAGUCAAGAUUUAAGAAGAAUGAAAUUGUUGAUGGUUGACUUUGUCAUUCUUCAAUGGGGCUGUCUUAUAUGCAAAACAUAGUAGAACUAUUUAUUCAAAUCAUAAUACAUCGAACCUGAUCUAUUCGAGUCACGAUAUUUCAAUGUUGAGUAGAUCUGUCCACUCACUUAUUGUCCUUGUUUGUGUCCCAUUUUUUUAUCAAAAAAUGAUUUUUUAAAUAGCGUAUUGAUGGGAAAUGUGUGAUUAAAAAAUAAGAAAAAAAUUGGAUUUACGUAUAAUAUUAUUUUAUUAAAAAAUGUGUAAUUAAAAUUGUGUUAAAACACUAUUCAACAAUUCAUUCUUUUCAAAAAAUGGGACACAAACAAUAUGGCUCAAAGUUGAAAGUGCCAAGAUUUGAGAGGACAAUGAAUUGAAACAAAUAACAAAUGGGUUCGGUGUAGUAAUCCAUGGCCAAAACCAUGAUUGGAUAAUAGAUAAUAUUAAUGUCCCUAUCUAAUGUCCCUACCAAGUACGAAGAAUUGCCGUGCAUAUUUCCAUUGAUUAGUACAACUACCUAUUGUCCUCUAACAUUUAUUGUUGCUUUGAGUGCAACUACUUUCUUCAAACUUUAUAGCUAAUUAAUAAUUUCUAUGUCGAAAUGAUAGGGCCUGUUUGGGCUCGAUUUUUUCACCCAAAAAAUUGAUUUUUUGACUGUUAUUUCACUAUUUUAACUGUUGUAUUUGACUUCUUCUCUCAUAAGUGGACCCCACUUUUCUCCUAACGGUCAAAAAAUCAAUUCUCAAAAUCAUUCCCAAACAGGCUCAUAAUUAGGAUGAAUAUUUGGCUUUGUUUGUGCCCCAUUCUUCCACAUUCUAUCACACUAUUUUCUUACAAUACUCAUUUUCAAUAACACAUUUUUCAUUAAAAUAAUAUUAUACGUAAAUAAAAAAAUCUUCUUUUUUAACAACGCAUUUCAACAUCAAUCACUAUUCCAUAAUACAUUAUUCACAAAUAAUAGGACACAAACAUGCACUUUUAUGGUUGUUCUAUACUUUUAAACCAUAGUUGAUACAUUGUACUCAAUAUGAUUAAACCCAUCAUAUUUAUCCUUCCCAAAUAUCAAUAUACAUAAAAGAUGCCAAAACAACCUUAUUUAUAAACACUAUAUUAUACCAACCAAUUUUUCCAUUCAAAUGUCAAUGCACAUUUUGUCAUUCACAUGGUAGUGAGUAAAAUAAUAUUUCUUUUCCAAUUUUCUUGAUUUAGUUUGAACUAACAUUGUUUUAGUCAAAUUUUGAUCAAAUGUCGAGUUUAUAUUAAAUUAUUUAAAAAUAAGAACAUGUUAAUUCACUAAGAUGUAAAUUUUAAAUUGCUAAUUAAAAUAAUAUUUUCGUGCAUUUAAAAAUUUGACGUAGUUGUUGUCCUAAUAGGAAACAAAACACAAGAACAAAGUUGGUGUUCCUAAUUGAGAAGAAAAGACGAACCUAGUUCUUGAUUUUAUUUUCUUUUUCCUAGAUUGCUGACAUUUUUCAUUUUUCUUCACCUCCUUUCAUCAUAAGAGUCUACUAUAAUCAACCUCGUGAUUAACAUAAAUUUUUACAAUGCAUUAACAUAUUUAGCCCUUAUUUAAGCCCCAUUUUUUCCAUCAAAAUUCAAUUUUGAAUGAUGAUUUGAUCACAUUUGAACAACACAUUUUUCAAUAAAAUAAUAUUACACGGAAAUUCAAAAAUUUUCCUUAUUUUUUUAACCACAUAUUAUCUAUUGUAAUACUACUGCAAAAAUGCAUUUUUUGAAUAAAUAAAAAUAAAAAAGGCUCAAACAACCCAUUAAUAUGCUAAAUUGAACCGGACUAAACAUGUAAGUUACUAAAAACAAUGUAUAUUGUCAUGCAUUUAAUAGUAUUACUUUUUCUUUUCUUUUCCUUUUUUUUUUCUUUUUUUUUUCUUUUGAAAAGCUUCCGUGACUCAAUCAUAACUAUGUCGUAAAUUAUUGCCUUUCUUUUUAAUUUAUAUUACUUCAAUGUCAGAUCAAAUCAAUCUUAUUUUUCAAUAAAAUAAUAUUAUACGCAAACUCAAAACUUUUCCUUAAUUUUUAAUCAUCUAUUUCUCAUCAAUAUACUAUUCAAAAAUUUAUUUAUUUAUUUAUUUUGACAAAAAUGGGGCUCAAAAGAUUAAACACACUACUUUAUAAUUCCUUAAAGAUAUACUUAAAAUAAUACGACUAAACAUAUACCACUUAAUCCUAUGUUUGAUUUAAUUAAAAAUCAAUUUUUUAGUGAAUUGAUAAAAAUUGUGAAUCCAAUAAAAUAUUUAAUUAAAAUUAAUUAUUAAUUUUGACUAAAAUUAUCAAUUUUUUAACUAAAUAAAAUAGAGACUAUAUUUUUAACUCCCUUUUUUAUCUUCUCUCUCAACAUGAUAGUCAAUUAAUAAGAAUCGAGAAGUUAGGUAGCUCUUUUCUAUCGUAUCCAAGUGGGUUCGCAUUAUCCUCGAGUUUGGUAAGAAUUAAAAUUCAGAUUUUAAUUUAAAUCAAAAUCAACAAUUAAUUUUACUUACAUAUCUUAUGAGAUCUAUUAUAACCACAUAUUUCAUUAGCUUUUAUCAAAAUCCACUAAAAAACUGAUUUUAAUCCUCACAAAAUAUGGAAUAUGUGUCAAAAUAGGGAAUAUAAUCCUCUUAUAUAUAUAUCAGGCUCAAAGAGAAAGUAGUUAGAGAUCCCCUCUUCAUAUCUAAUGUUUCUUUGUCAUGAUUUAAUCUUCCAAAACUUAAAUGAAAGUUUUAAAUUACAUACAACAUAAGUUGAUGCAUAAUCAGUGGCUGGCCAACAAUCUUUUAUAUUUUUUCGUAACAUUUUAUUGUUGGUAUUUUUCAGUACUCUUGGAAAAGCAUUUUUGUAACGCUCAUAAGUAAAGGGUUCUAUAAUAAGUUGCAGAUCUUACAUAUUAUGAGGAUAAAAUGUUUAUUAAACAAUUUAAGAAAAAUUUAAAUUUUGCCAAACAUGCACUUAGGACGACGACUAUGAGGCGGAUGCAUAUAUAUUACGGUUUCAAAUAAAAGACGUAACAAAAAAGAAAUAAACUGGAGAAAGAAAAUCAACAUAAUAGAUCAGUUGGCCUUAAAUAUUGCUUAACGAAAAGGUAUUUACUCCAAAUAGUUGAAUUAAAAAUACUCAAGAAAGUAAUUGGAUUGAUGAUAUGAAAAGGGAAGUGUUAUGUGUCCACAAAUCGUUACAUUUCACAUGAAGGAGGGUCCAUAUACGAUAAAAUAUUCGUGGACCCGUCUCCUUGUAAGGGGGUGUAAUCUAUUUUGUACACCAAAAAGUGUACACGUAGAAUAAUCCAUCUGAAAAUGGCUGGUUUUUGGCAACUAUCAUUAUAGGGCAAUGUACGAAAGUGAAAAUAAAUAAUAAAUAAAUAAAGAGGGUGUGAAGUGGCCAUCCACAAACUCAAAGCUAUCUAUACCAAUAAGAAUAAAGACACUUAACCAGGUUUAGAAAUAGAGAAGAAGGAGACACACUAAUUUAACAGCAAAUUAUUGAUGUUUUUUGUUUUCAUUUUUCAAACUGUCCAAUAACGCGUCUACACUUGACUCGCCUAUUUUUAAACCCGUAUGUGUAGCAUGAUUUACCAAUAAUGGUGGGUUUCUUGCAUAUACAAUCAAUCUAUCUGUUUUAAAUGCUUUUCUCCUUGACCUAGCUAGGUUAACCACGUGCAGAACUAGCAGAAAAGUUUAACAAAGGAGAACUACGGAAAAUUUCCAACUAACUUGUUGGCAACAAGCCAACAUUUCUUAAUUAAAACUUCAUUUAUUUUAUAUUGUUGAUUAUUUAAUCAAGAAAUGUUUUUUUUGCCCCCUGGCAUGUGUGGGAUCAAAAAGGAAAACUAUAAAAAAAAAUGUUAAUCAUAAAAAUUCGUAGAAUUAAUUGCGGAUCCAAAACAACAAUCAUCAGUUUUUAUUGUCAUAAGGGAACAUGAAUAUGUUGGCUUUAAUUUGGAACAUUUAGAGCAUGUCACAUGACCACUAGACUAUUUUAAACUUUGACUAAAAAUAAUAAGCGAUAAAUUUUAUUCUAUUAUAUACCUUUUCAUUAAUUUUGUCCAAUACAUUAUUUAUUAACAUUAGACUCAAUAAUGUAACCACAAAAUUCAAUUUCUUCUUCUUCUUCUUUUUUCUGUUUUAUUAAAAUCAUCUACAUACCAAAUGUCGAGUGAGUCUGCAAUAUUAUCCCGUAUAUAUUUGAUUACUUCUAAACGAGUAGUACAUUCCUCGUGAAAUUUGAACAAAACAUGCUUGUAAAUUUUAAUGUAAUCCCAGAAUAUUCAAACACAUAGUUUAAUGUUUUGCUCGUUGAUCAAUUCUAUUGCCAUCGGUGGAUAAGAAUAAAGGAUCAUGUAUGUUGAAUUUAUCACGUUUAUAACAAUUUUCUCGUAGGAUUGAGAUGGCAAGCUUCAUCGUUCAUACUACUCUCUCUCUCUCUCUCUCUCUCUCUCUCUCUCUCUCUCUCUCUCUCUCUCUCUCNNNNNNNNNNNNNNNNNNNNNNNNNNNNNNNNNNNNNNNNNNNNNNNNNNNNNNNNNNNNNNNNNNUGUUUGUUUGCCUUAUAAAUCAGCAUUAUCCAAUCCAACUACAGAGUUUUAUAUGCAUAUUUAUUACAUUAGAACGAUAAUAGGGAGUUUUAGAGAGCGAAAGUAAGAGAGAGAUGGUACCAGAGAUCGUAAAUGUAGAAGUGGAAGAGAUGUUGAGUGAGUCAAUAGCAUAUUCUAAUGAAGCAAAUAAAUUGCCAAUCUUGUCACUAAACCAUGUCUCUUUUGUCUGCAAAUCAGUCAAAAAAUCUGUGCAGUUUUAUGAGCAAGUUCUUGGAUUUGUCCUAAUCAAGAGGCCCUCUUCUUUUGACUUUGAAGGAGCUUGGUACGUAUAUUCAUCUUCCUCUGCGGGUGUGUUUACAUUGGGAUAAAGUAGAAAUGAAAAAUAUGAAGCAUUAGACACAUUAAUUUUGCAUAUUACUUUCCAAAUCUCGAAGAUUUCGAACAUACUUAAACACCCACCAUUUAUACUUCUUAUGUUCCUACUGAUAUUAAACAAGAUUGACAAUUAAAGAAAAUGGGGGAAAGUUGCAGAUUUUUUACUUCACUGCUAUGGAAUUAAUUUACACGGAAGUUUGAUUUCUCUCUUUCUUUAUGCUUUGACAUAAAACAAAUUAACCUCCCAAUCUGGACGAAUUUUUCUACCAGUUUAUCAAAUUUAAGAGGGAGAUGUGAAGACUAAUUUUAUUAUAAAACUCUUAAUCUCCGUCCAACCAACUCCAGAGGAAAAUUAAUGUAGUACGGUCUCGAUUGCAAGAAAUUUACCAUCAGCCUUAUUAACAUGUUUUGGUACGCAUGUCUCAUAUAACAGUGCAUUGGACGAGUACUAUUUAGCUAACUCAUAUCGUGUCUUGUUUAGUCCUGUGCACUCACUGGCGAAGGAAAGGGGCUAUGAUCCCCCAACUUUUGGGAAAUUUUGUUUUUGUUUUUGUUUUUUCCUUUUAUUUUUCGAAAAAAAAAACACAAUUUUCUCUCGCUCUCUCACGACUCUCUCUCUCUCUCACCUCUAUUACCAAAACUCUAACCCUAUUAAUUCUUCAGAAAAAUGUCUAUGAUUUCCCACAAAUUACCACAACUACUCCAAUUUUCAACUAAUUAGAACCUAAAUUUUCAUUUUCUUUUUUACCAAUUUAUUCUAACAUUGAUGCAAAAUGACUGUCAUUACGGCACUACCUCCCUCAUUCGUCAUUGUAAUUCUGACGCCACCUUCACUCAUCAGUUCUCCACACACAGUCAACUUAAAGUUAUUUUGUCUUUGAAAAUUGAAAGACAACCAUUACGCAGACAACAGUAACUUAUAAUUUCAAAUUUUUAAUUUUUUUUUUUUAACAAAAUUCAAAGUAAAAGAGAAAAUGGGUUUGAAUUACAUCAUUAGUUUAUGAAUAAUUAUAUUCUUACAAAGUUGGUGUACAAAAGUGGAGUGCCAAAGUGUGUUGGCAAAAUCUGGACCCUUGAUUUCAAAUUAUUUAAAAAUCUGUUUUUAAAAUGAUUGGUGUAGAUUUGAUUUUGUAACCUAACUUUGUAAACCCCCUUUGUCAUUGUAGCAUAGCUUGAUUUGGAAUGUGUUUGGAAAAAUUUAUGCAUAUGGAAUGACUUUAAAAUUGUGUAUAUAGAAUCUGGAAUGAUUCUGUCCAAUUUGACUUAUAUUGAUUGAAUUGAUAGUUAGUAUUAAAUAUUGGUUGAAUGUUUUUCCUUUCGAUAACAUGAAUUGAAUAUUUUAAUUGAUUGUUUGUCUCAGUUAUGGAUAAAUUCCUUAAAUAUAAAUAUGUAUUUUCUUAUGAUAAGCAAAAUAUUAAUGAAAGUAAUGUUCGAGAUAAAAUAGAUGAAAGUGAUAUUAGAGAUGAUAGGGAUCAAGGACUUGGUGAUUAAAUGGCUGUUGGGGAUGAAAUUGAUUAAACUAAUCUUGGAGAUAUUCCGGUUGAAACUAAUGCAGAGGAUGCUAGGAAUGAAAAUGCGUAGAAAACAAUUAUAAUAAAAUGUUGAAUGCCUUUUAAGAAAAAAAAAUUGCAAGCUUAACUGUGUCCCUAACUAAAAAUGUCAUCAUCCGCCAAUGGAUGCAUUAAACACAUAUUUUCCGAGCCUUGGCACAUAAUCCCUCUACUUCUUGACUAUACUCUAAAUAUGUUAUUCUACCUUCUCUUGUUCAUGUUCAUCUUUGUUUGGUGGGAAUUUGAUUACUAAUCCAAACUGAAUUUAAUUUGUAGGUUGUUCAACCAUGGAAUAGGAAUCCAUUUGCUUGAAGCUGCAGAAAAUGUUCCAAACAAAAAAGAGAAAAUAAAUCCAAAAGACAACCACAUUUCAUUCCAAUGCUCGGAUAUGGAACUCAUAACCCAGAAAUUACAAGAAAUGAAAAUAGGAUAUGCAACUGCAGUUGUCAAAGAAGGAGGCAUAACAGUGGAUCAAUUGUUCUUCCAUGAUCCAGAUGGUUAUAUGAUUGAAAUUUGCAAUUGCCAAAAUCUACCAAUUCUUCCACUUUCUUCCUGUCCUCUUA